This 253-nucleotide ribosomal RNA is filed under the name uncultured bacterium. RNAcentral's name for it is "partial 16S ribosomal RNA". It matches the Rfam family "Bacterial small subunit ribosomal RNA", at positions 524 to 776 of the family's 1533-position model. The record is from RNAcentral.
UACGGGGGGGGCAAGCGUUGUUCGGAAUUACUGGGCGUAAAGGGCUCGUAGGCGGCCAACUAAGUCAGACGUGAAAUCCCUCGGCUUAACCGGGGAACUGCGUCUGAUACUGGAUGGCUUGAGUUCGGGAGAGGGAUGCGGAAUUCCAGGUGUAGCGGUGAAAUGCGUAGAUAUCUGGAGGACCACCGGUGGCGAAGGCGGCAUCCUGGACCGACACUGACGCUGAGGAGCGAAAGCCAGGGGAGCAAACGGG